Molecule: ribosomal RNA, 291 nt
Filed under: uncultured Methylophilus sp.
Lineage: Bacteria; Pseudomonadati; Pseudomonadota; Betaproteobacteria; Nitrosomonadales; Methylophilaceae
Description: partial 16S ribosomal RNA
Rfam family: Bacterial small subunit ribosomal RNA
Source: RNAcentral
GUGGCAGCAGCCGCGGUAAUACGUAGGGUGCGAGCGUUAAUCGGAAUUACUGGGCGUAAAGCGUGCGCAGGCGGUUUUGUAAGUCAGAUGUGAAAUCCCCGAGCUCGACUUGGGAACUGCGUUUGAAACUACAAGACUAGAAUAUGUCAGAGGGGGGUAGAAUUCCACGUGUAGCAGUGAAAUGCGUAGAGAUGUGGAGGAAUACCAAUGGCGAAGGCAGCCCCCUGGGAUAAUAUUGACGCUCAUGCACGAAAGCGUGGGGAGCAAACAGGAUUAGAUACCCCUGUAGUC